This 253-nucleotide ribosomal RNA is filed under the name uncultured bacterium. RNAcentral describes it as "partial 16S ribosomal RNA". It matches the Rfam family "Bacterial small subunit ribosomal RNA", at positions 524 to 776 of the family's 1533-position model. The record is from RNAcentral.
UACGUAGGGGGCAAGCGUUGUCCGGAUUUAUUGGGCGUAAAGAGCGUGUAGGCGGCUUCACAGGUCCGCUGUGAAAACUCGAGGCUCAACCUCGAGCUGUCGGUGGAAACCGUGUGGCUAGAGUCCGGAAGAGGAGAGUGGAAUUCCCGGUGUAGCGGUGAAAUGCGCAGAUAUCAGGAAGAACACCCGUGGCUAAGGCGGCUCUCUAGUACGGUACUGACGCUGAGACGCGAAAGCGUGGGGAGCGAACAGG